This 228-nucleotide long non-coding RNA is filed under the name Lathyrus oleraceus (garden pea). RNAcentral's name for it is "Pisum sativum (pea) long non-coding RNA (PSAT_LNC027153)". The record is from RNAcentral. Lineage: Eukaryota; Viridiplantae; Streptophyta; Magnoliopsida; Fabales; Fabaceae.
AAAAUAUAAAAAAAAAUAAAUAAAUACAUCCGUGUUCUCCACCUCACCUCGUUUAUCAAACUGUUGUUUUAGCAAAAUUGGAGGGAGGAUGACGAAAAUAAAAUACCCAUAAUUGUUGACUGUAUGCUUUCGGAUAAGAUCCUGUUGAUGAUGUACAAGCAUUGUUUCAAAUCCCCAAACACUGGAGAGAUAAGGAGUUAAUCCCUAGUCAACCACCUCGAGCCUAGA